CCAAGGGGUUGUUGUGAUCGCCGUCGACGGGGAGGUCGAGGCGUCAGUGCUAGGGGCUCCGGUGGUCACAGCGGCCAGGGGCGGGGAGAAGGGGCCACUAGAGGAUGAGAUUGCGGUGUGCCGGAUAGAAUCUCUCCAUGGGGCUAUGGUUAUCACCACGACACCACAGGAGCAGGAAGCGGUUGGAGUGAAGGACCCUGAAGGGGUUGCCAUGCGGAAAAUGUGGCGGCCACGGCAACCGGUGAAGGCGCCCCUGAAAGCGGUGCGAGUGAAAGACGCCCAAGGGGUUUCUGUGAUAGUUGUCGACAGGAAGGUCGAGGAAUCAAUCCUAGGGGCUCCAGUGGUCAUGGCCGCUAUGGACAGGGAGAAGGGGCCAAUGGAGGAUGGGGUUGCGGUGUGCCGGAUGGACGCUCUCGAUGGGUCUCCAGUUAAGACACGACUGGAACCGGUCGGAGUGAAGGACGCCGAAGGGGUUGCGGCGGGGAAAGUGCGGCGGCCACGACAAACGGUGAAGGCACCACUGGAAGCUAUGCGAGUGAAGGACACCGUAGGGGUUGCGGCGGGGAAAAUGUGGCGGCCACGGCAACCGACGAAGGCACCACUAGAAGCUAUGGGAGUGAAGGACGCCAUAGGGGUUGCGGUGAUCAGCGUCGACAGGAAGGUCGAGGAAUCAAUCCUAGGGGCUCCAGUGGUCGUGGCGGCCGGGGGCGGUGAGAAGGGGCCACUGGAGGAUGGGAUUAUGGUGUGCCAGGUGGAUGCUCUCGAUGGGGCUCCGGUUAUGACACGACAGGAAGCAGUCGGAGUGAAGGACGCCGAAGGGGUUGCGGUGGGGAAAAUGUGGUGGACACGAAAACCGGCGAAGGCAUCACUAGAAGCUUUGGGAGUGAAGGACGACAAAGGGAUUGCGAUGAUCACCGUCGACCAGAAGGUCAAGGCAUCAGUCCUAGGGGCUCCAAUGGUCGUGGCAGCCGGGCGCGGUGAUAAGGGGCCACUGGAGGAAGGGAUUAUUGUGUGCCAGGUGGACGCUGUUGAUGGGGCUUCGGUUAUCGCCAUGACACAACAGGAAGCGUUGGGAGUGAAUGACACCGAAGAGGUUCCGGUGGGGAAAAUGUGGUGGCCACGACGCCUGGCGAAGGCAACACCGGAAGCUGCGGGUGUGAAAGAUGUUGAAGGGGUUGCGGUGAUCGCUGUCGACGGGGUGGUCAAGCCGUUGGUGCUACAGGUUCCAGUGGUCGCGGCAGCCGAGGGCGGGGAGAAGGGAUCACUAGAGGAUGGGACUGUGGUGUGCCAGGUGGACACUCUUGAUGGGGCUCCGGUUAUCGCCACCGAUGAGAAGGAAGAGAUCUCGGUGCAAGGGAAUCCGGUGUUCUCCGCCGUUGACCAGAAGGUCGAUACGCCGGGGGUGGAGGGGGUGCAGGCGAUCACUAUGAAGGGGAAUGGUAAGGAGGAUAAGGAGGGGAUCAAGUGGUUGAAACACUACUCCACGGCACAGAGCAUACUCAUGGUUGGAGACGGGGACUUCUCCUUCUCACUAGCGCUUGCCACCACGUUCGGCUCAGGCUGGAACCUCGUCGCGACAUCCCUAGACUCUUACGAGGCUCUAACGAGCAAGUAUGGCAAAGCUGAAUCUAAUGUAAGAGAGCUGAAAAGAUUGGGGGCCACAGUUUUGCAUGGCGUCGAUGCAAAAAAGAUGAUGCUUCACUCAUAUCUAGAGACGAGACGAUUCGAUCGCAUUGUCUUUAAUUUUCCUCAUGCUGGGUUCAAUGGAAGAGAGAAUUGGCUGCGUGUCAUCAAGGCGCAUAAGCAGCUGGUGCAUGGGUUUUUGGCAAAUGCGCGGCAGCUGCUUCGGCCCUAUGGUGAAAUCCACCUUAGCCACAAGACAGGACUUCCUUACGAUGCAUGGGAUAUCGAGCAACUCGCCUACAAGUCUUGUCUUAUCAUGGUUCGGAAAGUUGAUUUUUCUAAGGAAGACUACCCUGGUUAUAACCAAAAGAAAGGAGAUGGUGUAACAUGCGAUGAAUCUUUUCCACUAGGUCCUUGCUGCACUUUUAUGUUCUGCGUCGAAGACGUAGAAAAGCUGAAGCAAGCGCAUGGAAACAGGGUCGGUUUGAUCUCAUCAUGCCUUGGUGGCAGCAAAUUCUAUCCUGGCAUAUCGGCAACUGACAUGGCGUGGCCAUUUGAUCUGCAUCCAGCAUGGCCUCAGCCACAUUUUCCUCCACUUCACUUGCCAAUAGCAUUUGAUCCUUGCCCCUUUGGAGCUGCUGGAAUGGAAUAUCCAUUUGACUGUUAUGGCACUUCCUUUCAUCACCAGGACAUGGUUCAGCCAACACAUCAGCAGCAGCAGCCUUGGUACCAAGUGGGACCUCCUCCAAUUGAGCAACCAUGGACACCCCAAGAACAACAGAGUCUGCAAAGGGGGUACGAAAUUCACAGGCAACUCACGCCGUCCCUUGAAGAUCGCUACAUGGAAUCUGUUGAGAAGCAGGCGAUGUUUGAAAUGUUGAUUCAAGUCUAUGGCAGACAGUGAAUUCAGGACCCUUCUCCUUUUGGAGGCUGUGUCUCUGCUACAAGGGUUCACUAGAGCAGAGAAUACAAGGGUUCACUAGAGCAGAGAAACCCUGACCUAUGGAGACACAGUAUCUUCAGGAAAUAUACCAAGGCGCAAGAGGCAAGUUUUCAGAAGAGAAGGCAGAUCAAAGUAAACAACGAGUUCGAUGCUCUAGCGGGGUUUAUUGUGGUUGCAAGGCGGAUGUCGAUGGUGGACAUCAGUGGGGAAGCAGUGAAAGAACACCACUUUGAUGCUUGAGUCCACGUAACAUGCAGGGACAACGCUAGAAAAUAAUUCCUAUGGUGUCACCGCUAUAUCAACGACGUCUUCUAUGUAAAUAAACAGUGAUUAGUGUGAAAUUAAUGAAAAAAAUUCAAAAAUCAUUGGUGUCAAUUUACACCAUUUCC
RNA transcript from Hordeum vulgare subsp. vulgare (domesticated barley), 2955 nucleotides. RefSeq lists it as uncharacterized. NCBI's taxonomy places the organism in Eukaryota, Viridiplantae, Streptophyta, Magnoliopsida, Poales, Poaceae. The record is from RefSeq and is a predicted model, not a curated record. The transcript is spliced from 4 exons.